This 389-nucleotide ribosomal RNA is filed under the name uncultured bacterium. Its description in RNAcentral is "bacterial SSU rRNA". It matches the Rfam family "Bacterial small subunit ribosomal RNA", at positions 28 to 414 of the family's 1533-position model. The record is from RNAcentral.
GACGAACGCUGGCGGCGUGCUUAAUACAUGCAAGUCAACUGAACUUGAAGUAGCAAUAUUUCAAGGGAGGUGGCGCACGGGUGAGUAACACGUAGGUAAUCUGCCUUUAGGUCUGACAUAAUUCCGCGAAAGCGGGACUAACUUCAGAUGAUGCAGCGGCUCGACAUCGAGACAGUUGUUAAAUCUUCGGAGCCUAAAGAUGAGCCUGCGUCUGAUUAGGUAGUUGGCGGAGUAAUGGCCCACCAAGCCAUCGAUCAGUAGCUGGUCUGAGGGGAUGAUCAGCCACACUGGAACUGAGACACGGUCCAGACUCCUACGGGAGGCAGCAGUAAGGAAUAUUGCUCAAUGGCCGAAAGGCUGAAGCAGCAACGCCGCGUGGAGGACGAAAU